CAUAUCAUCAGGUGUGAGGUUUACAGCAGUUCCAUGGUAGCUUUUGAGAACCACUCUCCUUGGUACUAUAGUCUGAGAUAAAUCCUCCAGUGGCUUCCCCUGUCUUUGCUGCCUCAUUUUUUUCAACAGUUGGGAUUGAUUCUACCUUGAUGAGAGAAACAUGUGUCGUUACCUGGCCAAAGGAAAACAGACUCCAAGAAAUGUUUUCCUACAGUUUUUCGUAUUUCUGGUCACUGUUAUGCUGCAGUAAAACCAUAGCCCAUUAUCCGUGAUGUACAAUAUUAAAG
Molecule: non-coding RNA, 287 nt
Organism: Equus caballus (horse)
Lineage: Eukaryota; Metazoa; Chordata; Mammalia; Perissodactyla; Equidae
Source: RefSeq, a predicted model, not a curated record